GUGAACUUUAGCCCUAGGAGAUGCAAGCUAGAGUUCACUCAGCAAAGGACCACGAGUGCUUACAAUGUUCCCCCUCACAGGCCAAAGGUAAGAAGAGAGUGUGGACAUAAAGUGUGUAUGUGUGUAUAUAUAUAUAUAUAUAUAUAUAUAUAUAUAUAUAUAUAACACUGGGCUGUUCUGAGUAACAUAAAAUAUUUAGGUCACAAACACUCAUCAAAAUUAGCGUCUAAAUUAGUUAUUUGCAUUUUUCACACACAAACAAAUUUGAAUGUUCACUUUGGCCAGUGUUUGUGACUAAGUGGCUACUAAAAAGACAUAGUCCAUUUGUAAUACCUUGGAUUGUCUGUUUUGCAUAUGGUAUGCUAUCAUGGGGGUAAUUUUCAUUCCUGGGCUACCAUACGCUCUCAAAGGCAACAUAACCCAAUCUGGCAAAUUUCAAUCAAAAAUAUGAAACGGGCAAGCCUUUUAUUUGACCCGGUAACUUUCAAAAACAGUUAAACGUAUCACAACAAGGAUAUCAUCAGUGAAAGUGUGGCAUUUUUCAAAAUACCAUAAAACCUGUACAUGAGGGGGGUGGGUACUGCUUUACUUGUAAGACAUUGCUGAAUAAAAAUAUGUGCACUUUAUUGCAGUAACAGCUAACAGUAUUAUGACAUUCACAGUUAAAAUGCCAAAAAAAUGAAUAAAUCUUAAUUUCUCAAAUUUGUUUAUAUUUUAUUCUUGUUAAAUUAUGUUUAAUACCUAAAUAUUUGACGUUAAAUGUCCUGUUUCUCCUGAACAAAAUGAUAUAUAAUAAGUGUGGCUGCAUUUAAUAUGAAAGAUGUGAAGUACGGUUGAAAGAGAUAUACGGUUUUGUUUACGUUUUGUAUUUAUCUGAAUCUGAACAACUGCCUCAGUCCUUAAGGAGUUAAUCAGAGCAGCCCAGUGUGAAGGGGUAGUGCCAUUGGGGGGUUGUCAUCACCAAUAACAAUCACGCCCCCCUCAAAGUUAGCUUGUUGGUUCAAUCCUCCUUCAGGGCAGCCCAUAUGCAGAGCAGCUGAAGAGCUCUCCCAUGAGAAAAAUAUCCUGCAUUGGCACAGUUCCAACAAAUUUGAUUGUGACUUGUCUCUGUUGUCUCCAAAAGUGGGAUACAAUAGACCAAAGGGCCAGGAAAGUGUAUUGUGAAUGUGUUUGGAGCCUGCUUGUGGGAUUUUAUGUGUGUAGAGUGAGCUGAUUGUGGUGUGGUAUUGUGUAAAUAGGUUUUUUUUUUUUUAUUUGACAAUUUUAUUUUUUUAUUAGGGUUACAGAAAACAAGAAAGGGAUGGUAAUAUCAGUUAGGUUACAAUGACAUUCUUAGGUGCAGUAGCAGAUUUUGCUUGUACAUAUGACAUCCAUUACUUCACAUGUGUUUUGGGCCUGAGCAUCGUGCCCGUGUUUCACAUUGUUAUGUCACUAGGGUAUUUCACAGUAAUGGCCUUACUGCUACCUCGGGGUGUGUUGCCUUGUUCAGUGGUAUAGUGUGGUGAGAUACAGUCCAGAGUCUUGUGCCCUGUAGUAUGCUGGUCUAUCCUAUGUGGUGACUUGUUUGGCUCUGAGCUUAAGUCUGGUUGUAUGUCGCCUAUCAAGCCUGUGUGCUGCUAUCUGUCGUCUUGUAGGGCAGAGGGGGAGGGGAAGGGGGUGGUCAAGAAGUACCCGGGUGUUAUCGGUGUUCUGGUUUUUGUGGGAUUCCCACUUUGCCCAUGCCACUCUCCAGUAUGUGGCUGGUGGUUGUGUGCUCCGUGCCAUUUUUUUCAAAGUGCUUAUUCGUUUCCACUAGCGUUUUGCAUUGGUCUAUCGUCGGUGGUGAGGUCCUUUUCCAUAGUCUAAGAACUGUUAGUGCUGCAAUAAUUAUGUGGUAGAGGAGGUAUAUCUGCCACCUUGGUUUGUUUUCUGGGAACAACAGCAGUACAAAUGUUUCCGGCUGGAGGGGGAGCUCCACCUCCGUGCAUUGUUUUGCCAAGUGUGUCACAUCCAUCCAGAAUUUGCAUUGUUGGGAUCACCCCCAUUAUAUGUGUAUCAUGGAUCCUCUAUCUUUGUGGCACCUCCAGCAUGUGUCCUGCAUGUGUGGGAAGGAGCGUUUGAGGCGUGUGAGGACUAGGUACCAGCGGUAGAGGAUUUUGUGGGAGAGUUCUAUAUGGGACAUGGAUUUUGUCAGUGGUUUGUGGGCUAGAAGAAUAGCCGCACAUUGUGAGUCCGUCAGAGUGCGGGCUAUGUCUUUUUCCCAUGCUAUUUUGAAGGUUAGGGAGUCAGAUUGUGUAGUGGUGUGUUAUGUUAUGUGGCAUAGACUGUUGAUAUAAGUUUCUUAGGGGGUUUGAGUUUCAUGCAUAUUUUCUCCACUUCCAUCAACAGUGGUCUCGAAGUGUCGUCUAGGGGAGUCAAUGUUUGUUUGUGUAUCCAUGAUUGCAGUUGCAUGUAUGGGAAGAGGGCUGUUUUGGGUAGGUUGUUGCCUUGCAGUAUGUGUGAGAGCAUUGUUAUGCCAUAUCGGGGCCAUAUCUUAUGGUUGAAAUACGCUAUAAAGUAUGGUAAAGCCGCCAUGGGCAAAGCCAGUGUGAGCCUCCUUGUGAGUCCGAUCCCAGUGCAGUAUUUGUCCCAGUUUUCGAGUGUGAGAGCUGUGGUGGGCAGCAUGUUGCCGUUAUUGGGCCGCUGGGCUUUAGGGAGCCAUGCUAAUGUUGUUAUUGGGAUUCCCGCGGUACACUUUUGCUCCAUGUCUGCCCAUGUCAGGGGUUGGUUAUGGUGGAAUGCUGAAAGAAGGGGGCCUAUUUUGGGCUGCCCUGUAGUACCAUAUCAGGUCGGGUGCCCCCAUGCAACCUUUGUUGAACAGUUUAUACAUCGUUGUUUUGGCCACCCUAGGUUUAGUGUUGUCCCAUAUGUGGGUGUUUAUGAUUUUUUUUGCAUGUCUGGGAGGUAUGUUGAGGGCAGUUUUAGUGGGAGUGUAUGGAACAUGUAUUGUAUUUUCGGGAGGAUUGUCAUUUUGACGGCUGCAAUCCUACCGGACCAAGAGAUGAACUUGAUGUCACUCAUCAUUUUCUAUUAGUUAGCUUUGUCCAGAGUAGAAGGCAAGGGUGUGAUGUUUAUCCCCAGGUAUUUUAGAUGAUCGUGUCUCCAGUCGUAUUUGGAGGUGUGUUUAAGGUGUAGGACGUCCCUCUGUGGUACGUCGAUUUCCAGGGCUAGGGUUUUGGCGACAUUGAGUUUGUAAUAGGAGCACUCACUGUAGAGUGUGACAAUUUUAUGGAAGUUCGGCAGGGAUAUAUGAGGUUGUUCCAAGGUUAGGAGGAUGUCGUCUGCGAACAAUGACAACGUUUGCUCCACGCCUUGGAGUUGAAUACCAUGUAUGUUCGGGUCAUCCCGGAUCAUUUCUGUCAGGGGCUCUAGGGCCAGUAUGUAGAGUAGCGGGGAGAGCAGGCAGCCCUGACGUGAGCCGUUUGUGAUUGUGAAUUGUUGUGAUAUGAAGCCUCUGUUAGUAAACUUAGCGUAUAACGCCUUUAUCGGGGACGUGAAUUGCUCCUGGAAUCCGAACCUCUGCAGGACCAUGAGGAGGAAGGUCCAGUUUAGCCUAUCGAAAGCUUUCUAGGCAUCCAGUGAAAGCAGGACACUGGGCGUCCUCCUCCCCGCUUCCCAUGCAAGAGACUUAGAAUUUUGCUUGUGCCAUCCGCCCACUGUCUGCCACUCACGAAUCCCACUUGAUUCUCAUGUAUCAGUGCGGGAAUCAUUGGGGCCAUCCACCUUGAGAAGAUCUUUGCCACCAAUUUUACGUCCAUGUUAAGCAGGGAUAUAGGCCUUAGGUUCUGGCUUUUUGUAUGUGGUUUCCCUGCUUUCGGGAGCAUGGCGAUAUGCGCCAUUAGCUUCUCCACAGGCAUCGAUCCUGUCUCUAUUAUGUGAUUGAAUAACUUCGUUAUAUAUGGGGCUAGGGUGGGUGCAAACAACUUGUAAUAAGAGUUCGAAUAGGUCGGUUUUUAAUUGUGUUGUGUAAUACAUGUGGUUAGUGACUGUAGGGUGUGAGAUAGUGAGUGUAUAUAAGGAGCAUAAUAGGUAUAGAAGCUGUAAUGUAUGUGUGUAUAGGUGAUUUGGUGUGUGUGGGGGCUGUUUGCAUAAAUGGACUCUGUGUGUGAGGUGUGCAGUGUGUGUGCAUGAUGGGGUAAAAUGUGAGGGUACAGUGUCUGUGCGUGAGUGUAUGUGUGUAUGUAUAUGAUGAUGUGCAGUGUGUCUUAGGCAUACAUUGUGUGUGUGAGGAGUGCAGUGUGUGCAAGUAUAUUCCUUUUCCCCCUAAUAUAAAAAAAAAAAUAUAUAUAUAUAUAUAUAUAUAUAUAUAUAUUAUAAUAUAUAUAUUUUUUUAAAUAAUGCUUAUCUUUAUAUCCCCCCUCCCUUCUAAUUUUUGCUCAGGGAGGGGGGGAUAUUACAAGCCCUUGUGGUGUGAUGUUGUUUUUUUUUUUUUUGUUUUUGUUUUGUUUUUUUAAUAAUCCCUGGUGGAGAAUUCAUUAUUUUCCACCAAAGAUUAUUAAAAAAACAAACACAUUUCCCUUGAUACAGUCCAUAUACACACACACACCAGUGGCGUCGCUAGCGGGGGGCCGGGGGGGGCCAUGCUGUGCCCCCCCUUGGGCCCCCCCAAAUGCCAGCAACUUGCUGGCCAUGGGCUUCCCUCGGACUGUAACAGCCUGUUACAGCCCGAGGGAGGGAAUGCAGGAGAGAGGUGCUGGGGGCUGUCUGUGGCUGGAGGGAGCACUGAUUGGCUCCCCAGCACAGGCCCCGCCCCCAAACGAAGCCCCGUCGAUAAGCCCCGCCCCCGCCGUAAAGCAGCAGCCCAUGCUGCUGCAGAAGAUGGCUGCCUGACCCCCCAGCAACAGACUCCAGUGACAGGUAGGCUGGGGGGGGGUGUUCACACACUGCCCCCAUACUGCCCUAUACACACACAUUGCCCCCCAUACUGCCCCAUACACACACAUUGCCCCCAUACACACACAUUGCUCCCNNNNNNNNNNNNNNNNNNNNNNNNNNNNNNNNNNNNNNNNNNNNNNNNNNNNNNNNNNNNNNNNNNNNNNNNNNNNNNNNNNNNNNNNNNNNNNNNNNNNCACUCUCCCCCCAUACUGCCCCAUACACACACUGCCCCCAUACACACACUGUGUAUGAUACAGCCCCACAUACAGCCUCCCAUACACACACGCUGCCCCCCCAUACAGCCUCCCAUACACACACACUGUCCCCCAUACUGCCCNNNNNNNNNNNNNNNNNNNNNNNNNNNNNNNNNNNNNNNNNNNNNNNNNNNNNNNNNNNNNNNNNNNNNNNNNNNNNNNNNNNNNNNNNNNNNNNNNNNNUGUGUGUAUGGACUCAGCAGUCUGUGUGUGUAUGGACUCAGCAGUUUGUGUGUCAAUGGACUCAGCAGUCUGUGUGUGUAUGGACUCAGCAGUCUGUGUGUGUGUGUAUGGACUCAGCAGUCUGUGUGUGUGGACUCAGCAGUGUGUGUGUGGACUCAGCAGUGUGUGUAUGGACUCAGCAGAGUCUGUGUGUGUGUAUGGACUCAGCAGACUCUCUGUGUGUGUAUGGACUCAGCAGACUCUGUGUGUGUGUGUGUGUGUGUGUGUGUGUAUGGACUCAGCAAUCUGUGUGUGUGUGUAUGGACUCAGCAAUCUCUGUGUGUGUGUAUGGACUCAGCAGUCUAUCAAUAAUUACAAUUCCAUUGCUUUGCCCAGGGGCCCUUAACUCUGUUAAAAUGGUACUGCUUGUGUGUGUCAGUGAGCUUCUAUUUAGUGAGCAUGUGUGUGUCAGUGAGCUUGUCUUUAGUGAGAUUGUGUGUAAGUGUCCCUGAACUUCUUUGUAGUGAGCCUUCUGUUUAUACAAGUGAGUGUCUGUAGUAAGCUUGUGUGUGAGUCAGAGAGUUUUGUCUGUCAGUAAGCCUAUUUGCGCAUGUCAGUGAGCUUGUGUGCUUACUGUACUAUAUAUAUAUUUUUUUUUUAAUUUUUUUGACUUGUAGGAAUAGCAUACGUUUUUUUCCCAGGGCUGCUUUGGAUUCCCAGGGAUUCCCAGUUUGACUCUGCCAGCGAGUGCACUUUACCGCUGAAUAAUCUGUGUGAGCUGCCGCACACUUUAGCCCUGUUACACGCGUCUGGGAGCUGCUGUUGACAGGUACUAAUAGUCUAGAGAUUGGGGUAUAUGCUCAGCUAUCUGUAUAAUACAGAUCUGUGUGUAUAAAAUAUCCCGGGAUAUUAUACACAAACAGACCUGUAUUAUACAGAGAGCACUGAGUGUCCCAAUUUAUUAUACACACAACCCUGUAUUAUACAGAGAGCACUGAUUGUCCAGGGAUAUUAUACCCAGACAGUAAGUGAUAGCUGUGCUGCAAAAUGUCCUUGGAAUUUUUUUUUCAAAUGUUGGCAACUAUGGCACUGUAUCAAGGAUAAUGUGUUUGGUUUUUUUAAUAAUCCCUGGUGGAAAAUAAUGAAUCCUCCACCAGGUAUUAUUAAAAAAACAAAACACAUUGCGACAGGGGCGGGGUCAAACUGCGACGAGGGCGGGGUUAAAUGUGCCCCCCUACUUUUGUCACUGGCCCUCCAUGUGCCCCCCUGAAAAAUGAAUCCUAGAGACGCCACUGACACACACACACACUGCUGAGUCCAUACACACAGAGACACACAGACUGCUGACCAUACACACACACACUGCUGAGUUCAUAUAGAUAGACUUCUGAGUUCAUACACACACACACACACACGGACUGCUGAGUCCACACACAGACUGCUGAGUACACACACACACACACACUGCUGAGUCCAUACACACACUGCUGAGUACAUACACACACACACACACACGGACUGCUGAGUCCACACACACACGGACUGCUGAGUCCACACACACACGGACCGCUUAGUCCACACACACACGGACUGCUGAGUCACACACACACGGACUGCUGAGUCCACACACACACAUGGACUGCUGAGUCUAUACACACACACACGGACUGCUGAGUCCAUUCACACACACACACACACACACACGGACUGCUGAGUCCAUACAAAGACUGCCGAGUCCACACACACAUGCAGACUGCUUAGUCCAAACACACACAGACUGCUGAGUCCACAUACACACACAGAGACUGAUGAGUCCAUACACACACACACACACACUGUUGAGUCCAUACACACACACUGCAGAAUCCAUACACACAUACAGACUGCUGAAUCCGUACAAACACAUUGCUGAGUUCAUACGCACAUACAGACUGCUGAAUCCAUACACACACACUGCUGAGUCCAUACACACUCACAGACUGCUGAGUCCAUACACACUCACAGAUUGCUGAGUCCAUACACACUCACACAGACUCACACACACAAGCUUCCUCACUAGCAGACAGACAGACAGACACACACACCUGAGCAUAUCAAGCUUACCUGUUGCUGGGAGUCAGACAGCCAUCUUGUUGCCUUUCCAGCAGCAGCUGGUUAACGGCAGGGCGGGGCUUAUGUGCAGGAGGUGGGGCUUAGUUUGGGGGCGGUGCCUGUGCCGGGGAGCCUGUCAGUGCUCCCUCCGGCCACAGACAGCCCCCAGCACCGUUGCAGCUGAGCUCCUCCCCAUUACCUCCCUCGGGCUGUAAUACACUGUUACAGCCAGAGGGAAUAGAAUUUAAGCACAUGGCCAGCAAGUUGCUGGCAUUUGGGGGGGCCCAAGGGGGGCACAACAUGAUGUAGGGGGGCCAUGGCCCCCUCAGCCUUCCCCCUAGUGACACCGCUGACUAAGGAUAUCGUAUAACCGGACAUUAGAACGGCCGGAUUUAACAUAUCCAAGAAUAGUCAAAAUACUUGCCAAGGUCAGGGAUACAGAUUGAGACACAACGAUGAGAGAAAGCCAAAAGUCAAGGAUACCAGAAAUCAGGGAAGUCAAACAAAGCCAAAGUCAAAUACCAGAAAUACUAUGAUCAAGAACACUCUUUGAUAACCAGCUAAGGGAAACCACAAGGGGCCCUGAUCAAAAGGCAAUCUGGGUUUAAAUAAUGGACCUAAAGCUGUAAUUGGCUGUAUGAGACCUCUGACCCCACAACGUGUGUGCACGUCUAUGACAUCUUUGAUAUGGGCAAAUGCUAUUUCUUUAUUAAAAACAGAACCACAACGGCCGGCAUCUCUGUUAACGCUGCACACGCCGGGGACCGGGAUGGAAGGAGGUCAGGCUUUGAUCUGCCACGGGUAAUAGAAGUGUUUGUUAUUUCUGUCGGCAUGACCGCUGUUUUUCAGUACGGCCAUGCCGACAGAAACCUGCGGCACCAUGACAACUAGGAAGUAAUUGUGAACAAUAAUUUACCUAUAUAUACUUGGAUAUUUGAAGACCCUGCCACACUUCUGACCAAGCCUUAAAAAGUGAAACGCGUUAAGUAUGCUCCCUAUAUUCUUAUUGGACAUGUUGGUUCAUUUAAUUUGUUUUUAUACAUAUAUUUUUUAUUUUAUUCUGAUGUCAUAAGUUAACUUUUCUAUUAUAUUUACCUUAUCGCCUUUAUAUUUACCUAUUCAUCCUACUACUUCCUGCCAUCUGCAGUAUUCUAAGGUGGGGUUUGUACCACCCGGGCCUAUAACAUUAGAGCAAGUCCUGCUCUAGCAAUUGUAAAUACAACUCUUUAUUUAUUUAUGGUCUGUACAUACUUACCUCAUUAUUGGAGAUUCUUUCUGUUUCUGUUAUCACAUUGGCCAAUUUUGAGAAUUCUUGCUAUUUGAAUAUGCAUAUAUCCGGAGACUCGAAUCACACUGUCCAAUGCGCAAUCCAGCAGAGCUCUGCAAGAUGUGAGUGAAAUUCUCCAAAGCAAUUCUAUUGGACUUUUGUAUAUUGCCAAACUCUAUUGCACUAGUAUUUGUCCUCUUUUGUUUAUUUGUUCUCUCUGAGGUUUACGUGCUUGUAAUAUCUCAGUGGUUUACAAAAAAAUACUUUAAGGUAUUCUUGUGGCAUGGUGCAUACUUUCUUUUUUGUUUUUUUUGCAAGAUUUAACUGCUAGCGGCCUAUGCCCACGGACAUCACAGCCCACUUUGAUAUAAAGUCCAGGAACUUGCACUCCCGAGUGUUAGAAAAUUAAUUAGCCCGGUGCUGGUCUGCAAGAUUAUCCAAAAUACAGAAAAAAGAUAGCACUCCAGGGACUUCAAAGCAAUGUAAAAGUAAAACUUAACUUUUAUUUAGCAUAUGCUGUGCCAACAACAAAAAAUCUGUUUCAGUUCUAAUGCUGAACUUUCUUCAGGAUACAGAAACAUCAGUGACUGCAGUAUUUAACCCCUUAAGGACACAUGAUAUGUGUGACAUGUCAUGAUUCCCUUUUAUCCCAGAAGUUUGGUCCUUAAGGGGUUAAAUAGCUCAAUAAUUAUGAUACAAGUGAUUGCCAUGAAUGCAGCUGUUGGCAAAAAAUUGUGGGCUUUCAAUGGAAAUUUACAGCGGGUCUCUGUUAGGGAGAUGUGCUCAAUGUGUGCGUUCCAGCCGGUUGUCAGGGAAGCUGCUGGAACGCAACCUCCGUGAUACAGACUCAGCUGUCAUCUGGAGGCAGACAGAUUCGAGUGUCAGAUCGCUAUCCGAGUGCAGGAAUGGCAAGCAGAGCGGUCGGGGGGAAGAGUGACGCCAAUGCAUAAAUGAUAUGUACAUUAAUAUACAUACAGAAAAUAGAUAAAAACAAAAUGGUCAUAUAAAGUUGUAUAAAGCUGUUCUAGUAAGGGGUUUAGCAGUGUGUCAGGAAUGUAAUCACUAGUUAGAGGGAUGUAGGGAUUGUCCUAACUACAUCGGGAUUUAAGCAUCAUGAACUUCAAGCCCUAAUGAUACAAAAUAGCUGUAUACGAGAGGAGUGACAUAUUAUCUGUAGGUGAAAAAGGCCAAAUAAAACGCCAUAAUAGGCGCCACAACUAAAAAAAAAAAAAAAAUCACAACGGUAAAAAAAAUUCUUCCUCUUCACCCAUGGAGAGCACAGCGCAGAAUGAGUAAUGCAGGGCGGGAAAAGGCUUAUAAAGCCUUCCCACAUCCUGCAAUUAGGCUCAGAGCGCUCUGAGUGGUUGGUUUAAAGCCAACCAGAGUGCUCGGACAGGUAAAUGACAGGGACGGGGCUUCAUUUGGGUGAGGAGCCUUGCCGGUGAGCUAUUUAUUACAAGGAGGGAGCUGGUAACACUGCCGGUUUCCUCCUUGGUUCCUUUUUGUUGUGCAUGCGCACUGUUAUUUCUCCAUACUGUCGGGGUUAAUUCCCUUGCAGUACAGAGUCUAUUAAACAAAUGAAACUAAACAAAAAGGUAAUGCAUUCGGCAUUUGCCCUUCUGUUUCGUUUAUAUUUAGUUUGUAGGGCUUUCAUUUACGUUUUAGUAAACGAAUAUGAAAACACCCGAAUUUUCGGACGAAAUCAUAUUUGUACAAAAACUAAUGCACAUGUCUAAUGCGGAGAGAUUGCCCACAAAACAGGGCCUAGGCACAGUGGAUUCUGCCGAGCCGGGCAGCUGCUCACUGUUACCAGAUUGAGACAACCAGCUACCAUUCCGUUACUGUUCAACCAGAGGAAAGUUGGGAAUCCUGCAUAAAUCCUGCAUGAAGCAGACCCUGUCCAAGCAGCCUCCGAUGACAGACAGCACCACCGGCAAACCAUACAGCUAGAAGGAAAUUAGGUACAAGGGCUAAGAGUCAUUGUAGUGAACCUCACCCUAGUCCGCAGACACCUGGUACCAGAUGCAGCACAGACCUGUAACUUUGUAGCCGUUCGAGUAGCAGGGGAAUGACUACUUUGGGCAAGCUCACCACCGAUCCAAACUGCAGAACUAUACCCAGUCACCAUGAGACAACAAGCCCGCAUCAUGGACCGUUGUUCACCUCCGGAGACUCUGGAAGAAAGCCCUGGUUCCAUAAUCACCUGGAGGAAUUAACCACAGCUGUGCGAACAAACUUCCAGGCCGCAAAGAGCCGCCAACGCAGAUGGUAUGAUUGGGGAGCCAGGGACUGCAACAUUCAGGUGGGACAGAAAGUUAUAGUGUCUUCAUGCAGGACAGAAAGUUUUAGUGUUUUAGUUUUAAAUAUGUCUGCAAUGACAAGCUGCAGGCUGCCUGGCAAGUUCCCUACAAGGUGGCAGAGCAGAAAUGCGAUACCACCUAUGUGACCAGCCCUAGCUCUGGAGCGAGAGGGUUACACAUGCUCCAUGUGAACAUGCUGUGAAGCCCUACCAUGAAAGAGCAGAGGAUGUGGCAGCCAUCUGUGCCCCUGUCUCAGAGGACUUUGAUGACCUUCCCCUACCAGAUCUCCUACAGGAGGGAAGUCAGACAGGUGAACUAGCGGAGGUCCAGUUGGGAGAUAGGUUGGUCCCACAGGAGCGUGUCUAGGUACAACAAUUACUAGACGCUAAGAGGGCUACCUUUUCGAAUGUACCCCGAUACACUCCUCUGGCCACUCACCAUGAGGGAAACAACAGGUCCGUUACUAAGGCAGCCUACCUACUGAAUCUCUGAAUCGGUAAGGGAGAGCAUGCAUAAGGAGAUUGAGGAGAUGCUCUGAUUCAGGGUGAUUGAGCCGACUGACAGCCCCUGGGCCUCCCCAGUAGUCCUAAUACCGAAGAGGGAUGGUACGACUCGCUUCUGUUAUGGGCAUAUGCAAAUAUUACAAGUGUUAAAAUCAAAAGUUGUAUUUCUUAAACUGUGUACUUUGUCUUUAAGAGAUUUUGCAAACUGACAAGUUGUUAGAAAUGGAACAUAUUGUUUUUUUGCUUCAGUUCCUUUAUCCACUCCUCCAGGGGCUGCUUUCCCAGGAGGGGCAUCCGCAGUGCCACUUGUGUCUGCUGUCGCUGCUCCUCACUGGGGAGUCCCUCGCUUCCUGGUACCAGAUGCCUUUGCGGACUGCAUCUCGAUCGUCCAUGACACCCUCAACAUAUAAAACUGCUGGUUCCAUCCUGCUGCUGUCAGGGUCGCUGUACUCAUACAUGCGUUGCCCUCAAUUUGUAAAUCCAGAGAAUGGUGUUUCCUUGUAGCUGCCCUUCUGGGCUGUGGAAAUGAUCCCACCGCUUGCCACCAAUUGUAAUGGCACCCCCAGGCAUAAAAAGGGGUUAAAAGCCGUUGUUUAGUAGAUCCAGAGACCCAGGCACAUCUACUGUAGACACCAAUCCACCGAACCGGAGAAGCAUGUGAAUGCCAUAAACAGCCGAAUAGGAAAAACCAUACGAAAGGUUUACACUCCUAGCAGUCGAACUUUAACAGCAUCCAAUAAAUCCCCCCCAAAAGAAUGAGACAAGGCUCCGUGUUGAGGGUCAAAACAGGAACUGGCAGAGCUGUGGGUUUAUUGUUCUUAUAUACACAUUAGUACCACCCACAGGGUUUUGGAAAACAACCAAUAAACAUGUAAAAUACACUCAUACACUCCCACACAAAAUCCUCCCCACUGCCUGUGAUACAAUUACCUUACACAAUGGGUAAUGUAAUUAUCACAGGUAGAGAAAUACAGUUUUUCCGCAUUAUUCAUAACUUAAAAGUAUGCAUCACAUUCACAUAAAACAUACAUUUUCAGAAUCAGCAUACUCCAAAUACAAACACACGUCAAAAUCAUACAAAUUGGUCCAGUGGUUCAAAAGAUAGAUCGUAGUCCUUUGUAACCAAAUGAGGCAUGGCUUUUCUGCCCAAAACCAGUUCCACAGGGUCUUCUAUCCUGAAGAUAAUUGGGAAGUAAUCCAAUUAUCUCAAAGGACAGAGGCAAAACUCCAUUGAACACAUAUCUCCAGAUAGCUCAGAUCUGAGCACACAUUAUUACUGAAUGGCGCUCAGAUCACACACAUAUAGUUCAAUUGCCAUGGAGCCAAAGUCUUUCCCAUAGUAUUUCAUGGCAGGAGCACUUGGCCCAUAUAGGAGCAGUCCUAGGUAGGAUCAAGGAAGCAGGCUAAACCCUUAAACCCAGCAAGUGUCAUAUAGGGAUGGCCGAGGUACAGUAUCUCGGUCACUGAGUGGGAUACUGGCAGCAGAAGCCUGAGCCCACUAAGAUUGAGGCAGUGGCCCAGGGGCCUACCCCCUGGACCAAAACCCAUGUAUUAGUUUUUUUAGGGAAGGCAGGGUAUUACCGGAAGUUUGUCCCCAACUCCAGUGCCCUGGCCAAAUCCCUGACUGACCUGACCCAUAAAAGCCUUCCUCGACAAGUUGUCUGUGCCCCGAAGUGUGAGCAGGCAUUCCAGCGGUUAAAUCAAGCUCUUAUAAAUACCCCCAUCUUGGCAGCUCCCAAUCCAACUAAACGUUUUUUGGUGUAGAACAUCCCGUGACUUACAUCAGUCGCUAGCUGUUACCCAGAAAAGUAAGCUACACCACCAUUGAGAAGGGAUGCCUGGCUGUGGUGUGGGCCCUGAAGAAAUUGCAGCCCUAUUUGUAUGGACAACCAUUCUCCAUGCUCACAGCUCACAACCCAUUGGUCUGGCUGAACUGGGUGGCCGGGAAUAAUGCCAGGCUGCUGCGCUGGAGUUUGUUGUUGCUGCACUUUGAAUUUACCAUCCAUGACCACCCCGGAAAACAAAAUUGAAAUGCCAACGGUUGUCCAGACAGACUGAACUUGAAAAAUGAUCUGUGGGCACCCGCAGACAUCACCAAGCCCAUCCUUCUGGGAUCAAACGGUGUAUGCCGGCUUGUGAUUUCGGGGGAGCAGUGUAUAAAAAUCAAUUCCCUGGUGUUCGGUUGUCCGUACCCCUUUGUUCGUCUCCUGAACGGAUGGUGUGUGGUGCCCUCUUUUACACCUCUUCGAACACCGACAUUCCCUGGCUGUUAACCACAAAUUGGUGAUUAUCUUGAGUGCCUUCCUUUUUGUCUCCCGAACACAGGCAGCAGUACCUGAUCAUCGAACACCUGGAACUAUUUUCGGCCUCGCGUUUCCGUGAACCCGGGCAGAAUUCGUACUGCUGCUUGCUCAACUUCCCGACCAUCUAGACCAGAGGUUCUCAACCAGUCCUCAGGACCCCCUACCAGUCCAGGAUUUGGGGAUUACCUGGGUGUGUCUCAGGUGUUUAGAAAAACGGAAAAUAACACCUUAGACUCUAAGGUGUUUUUUUUUCUUUUUCUAAACACCUUUGACACACCCAGGUAAUCCCUAAACCCAGGACUGGUUAGGGGUCCUGAGGACUAACGUUGAGAACCCCUGAUCUAGACGAACGAUGGGAGGAGCUUUCACUCCAUAACAGCCAGGGGGAGCAUUCGUUGUGUUCAUACAGGAACCCCCGAAAGCCAGAAAACCUUAUUUGAACAGCAAUGUUGUUCUACCAAACCGAUCUGAGCACUUUUUUGAUAUAUUGUGCCCUCAGACCGGGGCUAUUCGGGGCUAUGAUUUUUGUGGGGUUAUUGUAUUUUUGGGAUAUUAGAAAUUAUGUGUGUAAAUUUCUGAAUUUAAGAGAUCAUUGAGUUAUUCUAAUUUGAGCUAAACUAUCUCUCAAACACAAAGGCUCUUGGGAAGAAACCCCUGUGUUCUUUAUGUGAAAUCCCCAUGCUAGGGGCCAAUGCAUAAAAAGCCAUGUGUAGCAGAAUAAAAUCAGUUGUACUCCCGUGUUUUCCAGUUCCUGGGGAUGAGGUGCGCUAUUCACUUGGCUAUUUCUUGUUCCUGACUUCCAGUAUUUGUGAUCCAGUGGAGGAAAGUUCCGGUCAGGACUAAGGCUCUGCUACACAGAUGCGAGGACAUCAAACACAUUAACUUUCAUUAGGCCUUCUGUACAGAAGGCUACUGUAACGGAGCUCCAGUAGUCCAACCAAGUACCUCCGUUGAUGGAUGCUCCUAGUGCUUCCCCACACAUGAGAUGAGGCUCUAUGUUGAGGGUAAAACAGGAACUCAGCAGUCGGAGUGUUUAUUGUCUUAUAUGCAAGUUGUUACAAAAUGUUACCUCCUACAUGGUCUUGUUGCACAGCCAAUCAAACACAUAAUAAUACGGUUAAACACUCCCAGUGAGGACACACAAACCCUCCCCUCUGCCUGUGAUAUAAUUAGUGUACACAAUGGGCUAAUGUAAUUCUUAUAACUUUAAAGUAUACAUGCAAUAUUAAUAAAAGUGACAUAUUAUUAACCAGCAUACUUCAAAUACAGACAUUCUCAAAAAUCAGACAGUUCCCUCCAGUGAUUAAAAAGUUAGAUGGAAGUCCUUUUUGACCAACCGCAAGCAUGGCUUUCCUGCCCAAAAGAGUUCCAUAGAUUUGGGCUUUGCAGUCAGUCUAUUUUACACAAAAAAAUAACUAAGUCCCAUUCGAAUUCACGAACGGGGCACUGUGUGUUUGAAUCAUCGAACGCUCUUCGAUUUCAACCAAAACGUCAAAGUGGAGGAGAAGGUAAGGGUCAGCGGUGUUCAUGCAAAUGUGUAGCCGAUUUUAGUUCCAUGGAUUUGCUGGCACACAACGCUGACCACGUUCGACUAACAAAGAUGGCCACCGCCACGUGUUCGACUGUAUGAAUGGCAGCCACCCAGCUGUCGGCAAUUAACCUGUAGUUAACUGUCAGCCUGGGAGGUAAAUUGCCUGCACACUUCCACUUGCGUGUGGUCCGUCUGUGCAGUACUUGGCUCGGUAAGCCCCAUUUACCGAACCAAAUAGGAAAAUUACAUGCACAAAGUAGUUUAACAGUCUGGGGACACUGUCUUAAAGGGGCAUUGUCACAAAAAGUCUCAAUAUGCCCAUAGACUGUUCUUAAAGGGCCAUACACCCCAGGGCCAUAAUCAUGAGGAAGGAGGCUGGCAAUCAGGCUUCUCCAUAAGCCAGGGGAACAGGGUAGUUUGUCACGUGAAAAAACAGUGACAAAAGGCCUUUUGUCACAACUACAUAUACAUUACAAUUUAAUGGGGUGAUAACAUUUACCCAGUGCAGUUUUUUAGGCAUUCUAUACUAAUUUUUUUUUAUUUUUUUUUCUCAUAAGUCAAAACUGGUAUACUCUAGUAGAAAUAGCAUGAAGUGACAAUAAAAAACACCCCAAGGUUAUGGCUCUGUAAAAGAUCAGGAAAUCUAACAAACAGGGUAUAUAUUGUCAUUAACCCCAAUCAUGCCUUGCUCCAGCAAAACACAAAACAAAAUGGAUACUAUAAAACAACAUGGCUGCCACAGUCUCUGGAUUAACAGUUUCAGGAUUUUAGCAUUCACAAAUUCAACCACUGUAGCUUUACCUACAAAUGAGGGAGUUGUAUUUACAUUUGCUCUGCAAUGUUUCACAAUAUUUUGCACCAUAGGCGUGCGCAGCCUAUUGCAUUAGUGUGUGUACCAUAAAGCACAAACACACGCCGUGUGUAUAUGUAUGUGUGUGUGUGUGUGUGUGUAUGUAUGUGUGUGUGUGUGUCUGUGUGUAUGUAUAUGUAUAUAUAUAUAUAUAUAUAUAUAUAUACACACAGACACACACAUACAUACAUUGCUGUGUGUGCUGCAUGAGGCUGGUGUGAGGGUGUUGUGUAUGUGUGUGAGGGUGCUGUUUGUGUGCUGUAUGUGUGUGGGUGCUGUAUGUGUGUACUGUGUGUGUGUGUGGGUGGUGUAUGUGUGAAGGUGCUGUAUGUGUGUGCUAUGUGUGUGCUGUGUGUGAGGGUGCUGUAUGUGUGUGCUGUAUGUGCGUGUGCUGUAUGUGUGAGGGUGCUGUGUGUGUCUGUGUGCUGUGUGCGGUGUAUGUGUGCUGUGCGUGAGGGUGCUGUAUGUGUGUGUGGGUGCUAUGUGUCUGUGUGAAAUCCGGCGGAGCUGCUGGUUGAGCUCCCCGGGUCCUCUCCUGCCUCCCUCACUGCUGCAGUGGGGAGGGAGGCUGAGAGCAGAGCCGGCGCUCGGAUAGCGCUGGCUCUGCAUGAGCCGACAGGGGGACCCUGAGAUCUCCCUUGCCGGUCUCAAUCCAUAGGCAUGCCACGGGGAUUAGGGUGUGCCCAGACACACCCGGCACACCCCGUGUGCACGCCAAUGUUUUGCACAUGUGCACAUAGGAUUGGGGUGGAAGAAAUUUUAAAAUGAGGUAGUAUAUUGUUUUGUUCCAACCACCAGUGCUGUUGCUCUUUCCUGCAAUGGCUUCUGGUGCACAACAGUCAAAAGCAGUUCUGAUUUAAUUUUUACAUUUUGUUAAUUAUUUUUAUUAUCGAUGUGCACAAACAGAAAUAAAUUAAAAAGAAAUGAUAGCUUCUUAUUGUUAAUGUAAUUGUCAUUAUUAUAAAUGUAACAAAUUAUGAUUUACCAUAUUUUACCACAGAUAUAAGCUCUUUAAUUCAUAGCAUGUUCCAUUUACUUUAUUUUUUUUUUUUUAGACAGCGAAAAGUGUAUGAAGUGUUAU
This 17235-nucleotide long non-coding RNA is filed under the name Pelobates cultripes (western spadefoot toad). Lineage: Eukaryota; Metazoa; Chordata; Amphibia; Anura; Pelobatidae. The record is from RNAcentral.